RNAcentral lists this ribosomal RNA (154 nucleotides) under Phakopsora meibomiae. Its description in RNAcentral is "5.8S ribosomal RNA". It matches the Rfam family "5.8S ribosomal RNA". Rfam says of the family: 5.8S ribosomal RNA (5.8S rRNA) is a component of the large subunit of the eukaryotic ribosome. It is transcribed by RNA polymerase I as part of the 45S precursor that also contains 18S and 28S rRNA. The record is from RNAcentral. Lineage: Eukaryota; Fungi; Basidiomycota; Pucciniomycetes; Pucciniales; Phakopsoraceae.
ACUUUUAGCAAUGGAUCUCUAGGCUCUCAUAUCGAUGAAGAACACAGUGAAAUGUGAUAAUUAAUGUGAAUUGCAGAAUUCAGUGAAUCAUCAAGUUUUUGAACGCACCUUGCACCUUUUGGUAUUCCAAAAGGUACACCUGUUUGAGUGUCAU